This 1409-nucleotide ribosomal RNA is filed under the name uncultured bacterium. RNAcentral describes it as "bacterial SSU rRNA". It matches the Rfam family "Bacterial small subunit ribosomal RNA". The record is from RNAcentral.
GGCGGCGUGCUUAACACAUGCAAGUCGAACGAACCCUUUGGGGAGUGGCGGACGGGUGAGUAACGCGUGAGAAUCUGCCCUCAGGAGGGGGAUAACGGUUGGAAACGACCGCUAAUACCCCAUAUGCCUACUGGUGAAAUGAAUUUCGCCUGAGGAUGAGCUCGCGUCUGAUUAGCUAGUUGGUGAGGUAAUGGCUCACCAAGGCUUCGAUCAGUAGCUGGUCUGAGAGGAUGAUCAGCCACACUGGGACUGAGACACGGCCCAGACUCCUACGGGAGGCAGCAGUGGGGAAUUUUCCGCAAUGGGCGAAAGCCUGACGGAGCAACGCCGCGUGAGGGACGAAGGCCUCUGGGCUGUAAACCUCUUUUCUCAAGGAAGAAGAUAUGACGGUACUUGAGGAAUAAGCCACGGCUAAUUCCGUGCCAGCAGCCGCGGUAAUACGGGAGUGGCAAGCGUUAUCCGGAAUUAUUGGGCGUAAAGCGUCCGCAGGCGGCUUUUCAAGUCUGCUGUUAAAACGUGGAGCUUAACUCCAUCAUGGCAGUGGAAACUGAAAGGCUUGAGUAUGGUAGGGGCAGAGGGAAUUCCCGGUGUAGCGGUGAAAUGCGUAGAUAUCGGGAAGAACACCAGUGGCGAAGGCGCUCUGCUGGGCCAUUACUGACGCUCAUGGACGAAAGCCAGGGGAGCGAAAGGGAUUAGAUACCCCUGUAGUCCUGGCCGUAAACGAUGAACACUAGGUGUCGGGGGAAUCGACCCCUUCGGUGUCGUAGCUAACGCGUUAAGUGUUCCGCCUGGGGAGUACGCACGCAAGUGUGAAACUCAAAGGAAUUGACGGGGGCCCGCACAAGCGGUGGAGUAUGUGGUUUAAUUCGAUGCAACGCGAAGAACCUUACCAGGGUUUGACAUCCUGCGAACCUCUUAGAAAUUUGAGGGUGCCUUCGGGAAUGCAGUGACAGGUGGUGCAUGGCUGUCGUCAGCUCGUGUCGUGAGAUGUUGGGUUAAGUCCCGCAACGAGCGCAACCCACGUUUUUAGUUGCCAGCAUUUAGUUGGGCACUCUAGAAAGACCGCCGGUGAUAAACCGGAGGAAGGUGUGGAUGACGUCAAGUCAUCAUGCCCCUUACACCCUGGGCUACACACGUACUACAAUGCUACGGACAAAGGGCAGCAAACUCGCGAGAGCUAGCAAAUCCCAUAAACCGUGGCUCAGUUCAGAUCGUAGGCUGCAACUCGCCUACGUGAAGUAGGAAUCGCUAGUAAUCGCAGGUCAGCAUACUGCGGUGAAUACGUUCCCGGGCCUUGUACACACCGCCCGUCACACCAUGGAAGUUGGCCAUGCCCGAAGUCGUUACUCCAACCCUUGUGGAGGAGGACGCCGAAGGUGGGGCUAAUGACUGGGGUGAAGUCGUAACAA